RNAcentral lists this ribosomal RNA (497 nucleotides) under uncultured bacterium. RNAcentral describes it as "partial 16S ribosomal RNA". It matches the Rfam family "Bacterial small subunit ribosomal RNA", at positions 28 to 507 of the family's 1533-position model. The record is from RNAcentral.
GACGAACGCUGGCGGCGUGCCUAAUACAUGCAAGUCGAGCGGACAGACGGGAGCUUGCUCCCUGAUGUUAGCGGCGGACGGGUGAGUAACACGUGGGUAACCUGCCUGUAAGACUGGGAUAACUCCGGGAAACCGGGGCUAAUACCGGAUGGUUGUCUGAACCGCAUGGUUCAGACAUAAAAGGUGGCUUCGGCUACCACUUACAGAUGGACCCGCGGCGCAUUAGCUAGUUGGUGAGGUAACGGCUCACCAAGGCAACGAUGCGUAGCCGACCUGAGAGGGUGUUCGGCCACACUGGGACUGAGACACGGCCCAGACUCCUACGGGAGGCAGCAGUAGGGAAUCUUCCGCAAUGGACGAAAGUCUGACGGAGCAACGCCGCGUGAGUGAUGAAGGUUUUCGGAUCGUAAAGCUCUGUUGUUAGGGAAGAACAAGUGCCGUUCAAAUAGGGCGGCACCUUGACGGUACCUAACCAGAAAGCCACGGCUAACUACGUG